GACCCCGCCUGCCAACACCGCACCUGCCUGGUGACUUAACCACUCGCUCCUUAAUCCCAACAAAGGAUUGUUGAGCCUCACUCCCCUGAUAAAUAAGCAUUUACUGAGCACCGUUCAUGUGUGUGAGAAACACACCAGGCCAGGUGAUGGGAUCCAGAACUGUAACUAGAGCUGCUGUUCGGAGCCUGAUGGAGAAGUCCAUGGAGAUGGAUGACAACACAGAGCCGCCACCACUGUGCUCAGGGGAGUGUGGGGACAGUGGGGCUGGCCAGGAAGGCCCAUGGCAGGCAGGUUGAACAAAACAGGAAGAGCUUCCUAACGGAGGAAGCUGAGCAGAUGCGGAGCAGCCUGGAGCCGAGGAGCUGCCGGUCCAGGGGCAGGGCAGCCGGAGGUCUAGAGGAAGCCCACAGCAAGGGAGGAGCAACAGCCCCAGGGCAAGAGGGGCACCUGGCCAGGUAACCUGCUGCCUCCAGCUGGGUCCCCAAACAGAAGUUUAAGGUCUCCUAACCUGGCCCCUGCGCUCUACAGGCCUGUCCUGCCCUGCAGAGUGUGGUCACACGAGGGAACUAACGGCAGUGCUCCCUGUUGAGGGCCAGAUGUGCCAUUACGGCCUUCUAGAUUUGUGCUACCACAGGACUGUGGACCCCAGAAUUCAAGAUGAGCCCUGAGCCCCAAGACAGGGGGCAAGGGUGGGGGCUGCCAGACCACGUAGCAGGCUGAGCUGGGCACUGGGAGGGGAGAGCCCAGCAGCCCGGGACCCUCCCCCGUCAUUGCCUCUCUCAGGCCAUUUCCUCCCUCAGGUUUAGAAGCCGACCCGCUCCCUGCCAUGACUUUGGGGGCCCCAAACCAUACCCUUCCUCUUUCCUGCUGCCCUACACUACCCCUUCCACCCGGCCCCAGCCCACAGGCAUCAAGAGGGACCUGGAAGGGGCCCAGAGGGGAGCAGAGCCUCCCUAGCUCCUCCGUAAUCUCUGUGGAGGCCGUUGACUUAGAAAUUUUGGAAAAUACUUUCUGCUGUGGAUCUGACCACGGUCAGUGGCCUUCUGCAGCUCCUCCUAGCUGAGGACGCACGUCCACCAGCACUGCCACAGGCAGAGCACCGUUUCCAGCGGGCUCCCUGUGUGUCUACCGCGCCUUCCUGAUGUACAUGUCAGUGUCCAAAUCUGGAGACCAACGAGGCCUUGGGACGUGGUAGACCCCUUCCCCCUGCACUCUCAGGGAGAGCUUGGGCCCACUGAGCAGAGCGGACAGCACAGGGGAGCAGGGGUGUGCACCCCUAGGAAAGGGGCUCUUCUCCCCCAGCCUGCAGCCAUCAAGCCCAGGGACCUGGGGGUCGAUUCUGAAAGACUGAUGGCCAGGGAGCUCCUUCCUGUGGCCCUCCUCGCGGGCCUCGGAAGCCUGCCUCCACAGCUGGUCCCCACUUGCCUCUGCCCAUCCUGCUACGGGCUGUACGUGCAGGGGCUGGACCAGUGGCUGGCACAGGCGGGGAACGAAGCAGAGUGUAACUGUGGCUCCCGCAGGUUCUCAUGCCCACCAGGAAGCAGGAGGGCUUACCUCCAGGGUUCUCUGUCAGGGUGCUGAGGGCCAGCAUGAGAACCAUGAGCAGGAUGCAGGUCACCUUGUGCCCCAUGGCCACUUUGCCUCCUCUCGGCCCAGAGCAGACCACGAGUCAGGGAUAGAAACCUGUCCGAGUUCUCACCUUUAUACCGCAGGCCUAUUUGCUUAGAGUGUGAGAUAGCGUUUGCCUAAGGAGGGUCCCCAGCCCUCCAUGCCAACAAUCUCCACCAAUCACAAGCUGUUCCUGAGACGCGCUGAAGCCCGUCAGCGGGUGUGCUGUUAUGGAGAACACUGUGCGGACGGUCAUCUAGGGGCAGGGAUUCAAGAUUCAGAAAGUCCCUCUCUUUUUUACCCCCCCCCCUUCUAUUUUUUUUAACUUGUUCUAACUAGUUAUCCAGGACAGUAGAAUGCAUUUUGACACACUGUACACAAAGGAGCACAUCUUCUCCGUCCUCUGGCUGUGCAUGGUCAGUCACUCCAGUAGUGACACAGGUACGUAGGGUAACAAUGUCUGCCUCAUUCUACGGUCCUUCCCAUCCCCACUGCCACCCCUCCCCUCCCUCGCCUCUGCACAAGCCAAAGUUCCUUCACUCUUCCCUACCCUCUCCCCCUGCCCCACUAUGGAUCAGCAUCUGCUUAUCAGAGAAAACAUUCGGCCUUUGGCUUUUUGGGAUUGGGUUAGGUCACUUAGCAUGAUGUUCUCUACUGGGGACUGGGACCAUCCACUUACCUGCAAAUGCCAUAAUCUCAUUCUUCUCUAAGGCUGAGUAAUUCUCCAUUGUGUGUAUACACCACAUUUUCUUUACCCAUUCAUCUGUUGUAGGUCACCUAGGAUGGUUCCACAGUUUAGCUAUUGUGAACUGAGCUGCUAUAAACACUGAUGUGGCUGCA
This is a long non-coding RNA of Marmota monax (woodchuck), 2448 nucleotides long. RefSeq lists it as uncharacterized. The record is from RefSeq and is a predicted model, not a curated record. Lineage: Eukaryota; Metazoa; Chordata; Mammalia; Rodentia; Sciuridae. The transcript is spliced from 2 exons.